Molecule: ribosomal RNA, 453 nt
Filed under: uncultured bacterium
Lineage: Bacteria
Description: bacterial SSU rRNA
Rfam family: Bacterial small subunit ribosomal RNA
Source: RNAcentral
UACGGGAGGCAGCAGUGGGGAAUAUUGCACAAUGGGCGCAAGCCUGAUGCAGCCAUGCCGCGUGUAUGAAGAAGGCCUUCGGGUUGUAAAGUACUUUCAGUCGUGAGGAAGGUGUUAAGGUUAAUAACCUUAGCAAUUGACGUUAGCGACAGAAGAAGCACCAGCUAACUCCGUGCCAGCAGCCGCGGUAAUACGGAGGGUGCGAGCGUUAAUCGGAAUUACUGGGCGUAAAGGGCACGCAGGCGGUUAAUUAAGUUGGAUGUGAAAUCCCCGGGCUUAACCUGGGAAUGGCAUUCAAGACUGGUUAGCUAGAGUCUUGUAGAGGGGGUAGAAUUCCAUGUGUAGCGGUGAAAUGCGUAGAGAUGUGGAGGAAUACCGGUGGCGAAGGCGGCCCCUGGACAAAGACUGACGCUCAUGUGCGAAAGCGUGGGGAGCAAACAGGGAUUAGAUACC